RNAcentral lists this ribosomal RNA (292 nucleotides) under uncultured bacterium. RNAcentral describes it as "partial 16S ribosomal RNA". It matches the Rfam family "Bacterial small subunit ribosomal RNA", at positions 505 to 796 of the family's 1533-position model. The record is from RNAcentral.
GUGCCAGCAGCCGCGGUAAUACGUAGGUGGCGAGCGUUAUCCGGAAUUAUUGGGCGUAAAGAGCGCGCAGGUGGUUGAUUAAGUCUGAUGUGAAAGCCCACGGCUUAACCGUGGAGGGUCAUUGGAAACUGGUCAACUUGAGUGCAGAAGAGGGAAGUGGAAUUCCAUGUGUAGCGGUGAAAUGCGUAGAGAUAUGGAGGAACACCAGUGGCGAAGGCGGCUUCCUGGUCUGUAACUGACACUGAGGCGCGAAAGCGUGGGGAGCAAACAGGAUUAGAUACCCUGGUAGUCC